GACGAACGCUGGCGGCGUGCUUAACACAUGCAAGUCGAACGGAAAGGCCCUGCUUUUGUGGGGUGCUCGAGUGGCGAACGGGUGAGUAACACGUGAGUAACCUGCCCUUGACUUUGGGAUAACUUCAGGAAACUGGGGCUAAUACCGGAUAGGAGCUCCUGCUGCAUGGUGGGGGUUGGAAAGUUUCGGCGGUUGGGGAUGGACUCGCGGCUUAUCAGCUUGUUGGUGGGGUAGUGGCUUACCAAGGCUUUGACGGGUAGCCGGCCUGGGAGGGUGACCGGCCACAUUGGGCCUGAGAUACGGCCCAGACUCCUACGGGAGGCAGCAGUGGGGAAUAUUACGCAGUGGGCGGAAGCCUGAUGCGGCAACGCCGCGUGCGGGAUGACGGCCUUCGAGUUGUAAACCGCUUUCGCCUGUGACGAAGCGUGAGUGACGGUAAUGGGUAAAGAAGCACCGGCUAACUACGUG
This 468-nucleotide ribosomal RNA is filed under the name uncultured bacterium. RNAcentral describes it as "partial 16S ribosomal RNA". It matches the Rfam family "Bacterial small subunit ribosomal RNA", at positions 28 to 507 of the family's 1533-position model. The record is from RNAcentral.